Molecule: ribosomal RNA, 228 nt
Filed under: Priestia megaterium
Lineage: Bacteria; Bacillati; Bacillota; Bacilli; Caryophanales; Bacillaceae
Description: partial 16S ribosomal RNA
Rfam family: Bacterial small subunit ribosomal RNA
Source: RNAcentral
UUCUUCGGAGAGUUUGAUCCUGGCUCAGGAUGAACGCUGGCGGCGUGCCUAAUACAUGCAAGUCGAGCGAACCGAUUAGAAGCUUGCUUCUAUGACGUUAGCGGCGGACGGGUGAGUAACACGUGGGCAACCUGCCUGUAAGACUGGGAUAACUUCGGGAAACCGAAGCUAAUACCGGAUAGGAUCUUCUCCUUCAUGGGAGAUGAUUGAAAGAUGGUUUCGGCUAUC